RNAcentral lists this unclassified non-coding RNA (227 nucleotides) under Hevea brasiliensis (rubber tree). Lineage: Eukaryota; Viridiplantae; Streptophyta; Magnoliopsida; Malpighiales; Euphorbiaceae. The record is from RNAcentral.
CUCUCCAAUGGGCUCAUGGGCACAGGUGAAUGUUCCAUGACUCGUUUGAAGACAUCUCCAUAAUCAAGGGUGCUUUCUGCUUCUACACAUAUUUUUGCCAUUGUCCGAACUGCCAGCUCUGGAUAUGCUCCAGCUGCUGUUUCACCACUCAGCAUCACACAGUCAGAACCAUCAAGAACUGCAUUGGCAACAUCAGUGGCUUCAGCUCUAGUUGGUCGGGGUGACUU